GUUGUAUGGUUAAGUGACUAAGCGUACACGGUGGAUGCCUAGGCAAUCAGAGGCGAAGAAGGACGUGCUAAUCUGCGAAAAGCUUGGAUGAGUUGAUAAGAAGCGUUUAAUCCAAGAUAUCCGAAUGGGGAAACCCAGUAGAUGAAGAAUCUACUAUCAAUAGAUGAAUACAUAGUCUGUUGAGGCAAACCGGGAGAACUGAAACAUCUAAGUACCCCGAGGAAAAGAAAUCAACCGAGAUUUUGUCAGUAGCGGCGAGCGAAAGCGAAAGAGCCAGCAAGUGAUAGCAGCAAAGACAGAAGAAUUGGCUGGGAAGCCAAGCGACACAGGGUGAUAGCCCCGUAUUUUAAGUUUAUGUUGUGGUACUAAACUUGCAACAAGUAGGGCGGGACACGAGAAAUCCUGUUUGAAGAUGGGGGGACCAUCCUCCAAGGCUAAAUACUCCUGAUUGACCGAUAGUGAACCAGUACUGUGAAGGAAAGGCGAAAAGAACCCCAGUGAGGGGAGUGAAAUAGAACCUGAAACCGUGUACGUACAAGCAGUGGGAGCCCUUUUGGGUGACUGCGUACCUUUUGUAUAAUGGGUCAGCGACUUAUAUUUUGUAGCGAGGUUAACUGAAUAAGGGAGCCGAAGGGAAACCGAGUCUUAACUGGGCGGUGAGUUGCAAGGUAUAGACCCGAAACCCGGUGAUCUAGCCAUGGGCAGGUUGAAGGUUGGGUAACACUAACUGGAGGACCGAACCGACUAAUGUUGAAAAAUUAGCGGAUGACUUGUGGCUGGGGGUGAAAGGCCAAUCAAACCGGGAGAUAGCUGGUUCUCCCCGAAAUCUAUUUAGGUAGAGCCUUAUGUGAAUACCUUCGGGGGUAGAGCACUGUUUCGGCUAGGGGUUCAUCCCGGAUUACCAACCCGAUGCAAACUGCGAAUACCGAAGAGUAAUGCAUAGGAGACACACAGUGGGUGCUAACGUCCAUCGUGGAGAGGGAAACAACCCAGACCGCCAGCUAAGGUCCCAAAGUCUAUAUUAAGUGGGAAACGAAGUGGGAAGGCUUAGACAGCUAGGAUGUUGGCUUAGAAGCAGCCACCAUUUAAAGAAAGCGUAAUAGCUCACUAGUCGAGUCGGCCUGCGCGGAAGAUGUAACGGGGCUAAAAUAUAGCACCGAAGCUGCGGCAUCAGGCGUAUCACAAAUACGCCUUCGAUUAACAACAUCGAAUGAAGUGAAACGGAAUAAGAUGUUGGUCAAGCACCCAACACGUUGAGUUGGCAUAAAGUGCGGAUAGAAAUCAGAGGAAUAUUUGUGAUACGCCUGUUGGGUAGGGGAGCGUUGUGUAAGCGGAUGAAGGUGAAUCGAGAGGUUUGCUGGACGUAUCACAAGUGCGAAUGCUGACAUAAGUAACGAUAAAACGAGUGAAAAACUCGUUCGCCGGAAGACCAAGGGUUCCUGUCCAACGUUAAUCGGGGCAGGGUGAGUCGGCCCCUAAGGCGAGGCUGAAAAGCGUAGUCGAUGGGAAACGGGUUAAUAUUCCCGUACUUGGUAAAGCUGCGAUGUGGGGACGGAGAAGGUUAGGUUAGCAGACUGUUGGAUGUCUGUUUAAGUUGGUAGGUGGGAAGUUUAGGCAAAUCCGGACUUCCAUAACACUGAGAGAUGAUGACGAGUUUCUACGGAAAUGAAGUAACUGAUACCACGCUUCCAGGAAAAGCCACUAAGCGAAAGGCUUUACUAAACCGUACUGAAAACCGACACAGGUGGUCAGGUAGAGAAUACUCAGGCGCUUGAGAGAACUCGGGUGAAGGAACUAGGCAAAAUAGCACCGUAACUUCGGGAGAAGGUGCGCUGGCGUAGGUUGUAGGAGUAUACCUCCGAAGGCUGAACCAGUCGAAGAUACCAGCUGGCUGCAACUGUUUAUUAAAAACACAGCACUCUGCAAACACGAAAGUGGACGUAUAGGGUGUGAUGCCUGCCCGGUGCUGGAAGGUUAAUUGAUGGUGUUAUCGAAAGAGAAGCUCCUGAUCGAAGCCCCAGUAAACGGCGGCCGUAACUAUAACGGUCCUAAGGUAGCGAAAUUCCUUGUCGGGUAAGUUCCGACCUGCACGAAUGGCAUAAUGAUGGCCAGGCUGUCUCCACCCGAGACUCAGUGAAAUUGAAAUCGCCGUGAAGAUGCGGUGUACCCGCGGCUAGACG
This 2180-nucleotide ribosomal RNA is filed under the name Glaesserella parasuis. Its description in RNAcentral is "partial 23S ribosomal RNA". It matches the Rfam family "Bacterial large subunit ribosomal RNA", at positions 1 to 2082 of the family's 2925-position model. The record is from RNAcentral. Lineage: Bacteria; Pseudomonadati; Pseudomonadota; Gammaproteobacteria; Pasteurellales; Pasteurellaceae.